CCUACGGGAGGCAGCAGUGGGGAAUAUUGCGCAAUGGGCGAAAGCCUGACGCAGCGACGCCGCGUGAGGGAUGAAGGUCUUCGGAUCGUAAACCUCUGUCAGCAGGGAAGAAAGGUCACUGUGCUAAUCAGCAGUGAAUUGACGGUACCUGCAAAGGAAGCACCGGCUAACUCCGUGCCAGCAGCCGCGGUAAUACGGAGGGUGCGAGCGUUAAUCGGAAUUACUGGGCGUAAAGCGCUCGUAGGCGGUAUGUCAAGUCAAGGGUGAAAUCCCCGGGCUCAACGUGGGAACUGCCUUUGAAACUGGCAAACUGGAGUGUGUGAGAGGAUAGUGGAAUUCGAGGUGUAGGGGUGAAAGCCGUAGAUAUCUGGAGGAACAUCAGUGGCGAAGGCGACUAUCUGGCACAUAACUGACGCUGAGGAGCGAAAGCGUGGGUAGCAAACAGGAUUAGAUACCCCUGUAGUC
This 465-nucleotide ribosomal RNA is filed under the name uncultured bacterium. Its description in RNAcentral is "partial 16S ribosomal RNA". It matches the Rfam family "Bacterial small subunit ribosomal RNA", at positions 338 to 795 of the family's 1533-position model. The record is from RNAcentral.